CUUUUCUUAGGUUAGGGGUUGGAGGAAGGGUAGGGGACGCGAGCCUGCUUCCAUCUGACGCUGGACGCUUGUCCCUGCCCCGCGUUGCCUUUUAAAUUUUAGCUCAUUCCGAGACACCUGCCGUCAGACAUUUAUGCAGUGUGUGAUUCUUUCUAAAACAACUCCCUGGAAGAGAGGACAUUUAAUUCAACAAUUUAUUGGCCACCUACUGUGCACCAGGCAGUGAACUUGGAACUGGGGCUACUGGGUUACAGCAGUGACCAAGACAGAGGUCCCUGUUCUUAAGGAGCAAGUGAGGGCAACAGAAAAGAGCAGGUAAACAAAUAAGAUAAUUUCAGAUAGUUGUGACUGCUAUAAAGAAAAUAAAGCUGGGCUGGGUGUGGUGGUUCACGCCUGUAAUCCCUGCACUUUGGGAUGCCAAGGCGGGAGAAUCGCUUGAGCCCAGGAGUUUCAGACCAGCCUGGGUAACAUAGAGAAAUCCCACCUCCACAAAAAUUCAAAAAUUAGCCGGGCAUGGUAGCAAGCACCUGUCAUCUCAGCUUCUGGGGAGGCUGAGGUGGGAAAACGCUUAAGCCAGAGAUUUUGAGGCUGUAGUGAGCUAUGAUGGUGCCACUGCACCCCAGACUGGGUGAUGGAAAGAAGGGAGGGAGGGGCUGGGCAAGGUGGCUCACAUCUGAAAUCCCAGCGCUUUGAGAGGCUGAGGUGGGCAGAUGCUUGAGCCUAGAAGUUCAAGACCAGCCUAGGCAACAUGGCAAAAGCCUGUCUCUACAAAAAAUACAAAACAGCCAGGUGUGAUGGCCUGUGCCUUUAGUCCUAGCUACUUGGGAGGCUGAGGCAGGAAGAUCGUUUGAGCCCGGGAAGUUGAGGCUGCAGUGAGCUGUGAUCGUACCACUGCACCCCAGCCUGUGGGACAGAGUGAGACCCUGUCUCAAACGACAAUGAAAAGAAAACAAGGUAAUGAGAGAGUGAGUGACUGGGACGGGGGAUGAUAGAGAUGGGGGAGAGUUUAGAUCUCAAGAUGACGAAGAACCAUCCAUGUAAAACAUUCCAGGCAGAGGAAACAGCAAGUGCAAGGGACUGGAGAUGGGAAGGAGACUGGGACGAGGUAUUGAGAGGGCAUGGAUAGGUGCCAAGACCAGAGAUGGGGGAGUGUACAUGAGGAAUACGAUGCGUUUAUGUUGAGCUGGAGCUGAAGGGCAAUACGGUAGUUGGUCCUCAGAAGCCAAGUUAUGGAGUUCCCUGGGUUGUGGGGAGCCAGGGACAGUUUUUUUAUUGCAGGAUGACAUGAUCAGAGGUACGCUUCAGCAAGAUUAAGGAGUUUCAUGUGUUGUAGUUGGAUUGGAGGAGGGAAAUUUGGGGGGAAAGAUCAGCUGGAAAUUUUCUUGUGUUUCAAAAACAUGUUCACAAAUUCUUUUUUUUUUUUUCUUUUUGAGAUGGAGUCUUGCUCUGUCACCCAGGCUGGAGUGCGGUGGCGCCAUCUCGGCUCACUGCAAGCUCCGCCUCCCGGGUUCACGCCAUUCUCCUGCCUCAGCCUCCCCAGUAGCUGGGACUACAGGCGCCUGCCACCACGCCCUGCUAAUUUUUGUUGUAUUUUUUUAGUAGAGACAGGGUUUCACCGUUUUAGCCAGGAUGGUCUCAAUCUCCUGACCUCAUGAUCCGCCCCCCUCAGCCUCCCAAAGUGCUGGGAUUACAGGCAUGAGCCACUGCGCCCGGCCCUUCACAAAUUCUUUAAUGUUCCUUCCUUCAAAAGGAAGAGCCUAAUUCCUCCUCCCCUUCCCAGUUAAGUGUGAACUUGCCUCUAACUAAUAGAAUAUGGCAGAAGUGAUGGUUUGUGAUAUCUAAGAUUGGACAUAGAAAGCUCUAUGUUUUCCUCCUGGCUGUCUUAUUUUGUAUCAUUUAUUCUGGGAGAAGUCAGCUGUCAUGCGAGGGCACUCAAGCAGCCCUGUGGAAAGCUCUACGUGGUGAGAAACUGAAGCCUCCUGCCAACACCAACAAGGAACUGAGACCUACUUCCAACAGCCAUCUGAGUGAUCGAUCCAUCCUGGAAUCAGAUCCUCCAGCCCCAGUCAAGUCUUCAGAUGACUGCAGCCCUGACCAGCAUCUCAACUGCAACCUCGUGAAUGACCCUGAGCCAGAACCAUGCAACUAAACUCUGCGUGGAUUCAUGACCCACAGAAACUGUGAGAUGGUAGCUGUUUGCUUUGUUAAGCCUCUAAGUCUGGAAAGAAUGUCUUAAGCAGUAGCAGACAAUGAACACAAGAUUAUUAUUCAGCUGUUGAAUUGGAAGAGGAGGGGAAGAAAAAAUUUUCAGAUCACAAAAUAUUCAUUGUGUAAAACUUCAAAAAUUCUGAAAUUUAAGGAAAAAAUAUCAUUUGUUGGGAAUUUGUUGGGAUUCAUUGUCUCAGUGCCAAGAGACACCCACUCUUUUUUUUUUUUUGAGACAGAGUCCUGCUCUGUUGCCCAGGCUGAAGGGCAGUGGCACGAUCUCAGCUCACCACAACCUCUGCCUCCCGGGUUCAAGUGAUUCUCCUCCCUAAGCCUCCCAAGUGGCUGGGACUACAGGCAUGCAUCACCAUGCCCGGCUAAUUUUUGUAUUUUUAGUAGAGACGGGGUUUCACUAUGUUGGCCGGCUGAUCUCAAACUCUUGACCCCGUGAUCCGCCCGCAUCAGCCUCCCAAAGUGCCGGGAUUACAGGCAUGAGCCACUGCGCCCGGCCGAGACACUCACUCUUAACAUUUUGGUAUAUUUUUUCUCUCUGCACAUUUUUUAUCCAGCUGACUUUAUUUUGUCUCCUGAAAUCUUCAUUUUUAAAUUAUAGCUUCAGCAUUUAAGAAAAUGUGUCUAACAAAGUCUUCGCAAGCAUACAUUUUUCCCAUAGUUAGUAUACUUAGAAUUUAUUUGUCAAGCAAUUUUGAAGGGCUUUCACUAUGAAAAACUUUAGGGCUUAUUGAUAUUCUCUUUAAGUAGAAGUAUGUUUUUUAUUAUUACAAAAGUUAUAUAUGUAUAUAUAUGGUGUUUGUGUUUGUGUGUGUGUGUGUGUGUGUGUGUGUGUGUGUGUGGAGUCUCGCUCUGUCACCAGGCUGGAGUGCAGUGGCGUGAUCUCAGCUCACUGCAACUUCCUCCUCCCAGGUUCAAGCGAUUCUCCUGCCUCAGCCUCCUGAGUAGCUGGAACUACAGGUGCGUGCCACCACGCCUGGCUAAUUUUUGUAUUUUUAGUAGAGACGGAGUUUCGCCAUGUUGGUCAGGCUGGCCUCGAAUUCCUGACCUCAAGUGAUCCGCCCGCCUCGGCCUCCCAAAGUUUUGGGAUUACAGGCAUGAGCCACUGCGCCCGGCCUUAUACUGAAUUAUAUAAGGCGAAAAGUGAACGUCUCCUGUAAUCUAGAAAAAUGGCAUUAUAAUGAGUAAAUUUUAAAUUUUAAUGUAAUUUUCCAGAAUUUUUUUUUUUUGAGACGGGACGGAGUCUCACUCUGUUGCCCAGGCUGGAGUGCAGUGACGCGAUCCUGGCUCACCGCAACCUCUGCCUCCCACGUUCAAGCGAUUCUCCUGCCUCAGCCUCCCAAGUAGCUGGGACUACAGCCGCCCACCACUGCGCCCGACUAAUUUUUGUAUUUUUAAUAGAGACGGGGUUUCGCCAUAUCGGCCAGGCUGGUCUGGAACUCCUGACCUUGUGAUCUGCCCGCCUUGGCCUCCUAAAGUGCUGGGAUUAUAAGCGUGAGCCACCGUGCCCGGCCUUUUUUUUUUUUCGACAAGGUCUCUCCCUGUCACCCAGGAUGGGGUGCAGUGGCGCAAUCACAGCUCACUGCAGCCUCAACCUCUUGGGCUCAAGUGAUCUUCCCACGUCAGUGUCCCAGGUAGCUGGGACUACAGACGCGUACCACCACACAGGGCUAAUUUUUUGUAUUUUUUAUAGAGACUGAGUUUUGCCACGUUGCCCGAGCUGGUCUCAAAUUCCUGGGCUUAAGCGGUCUGCCCACCUUGGCCUCCCAAAGUGCUGGGAUUACAGGCAUGAGCCACUUCACCUGGCCAUCCAGAAACUUAAAUGCUUAUAAUCACAUGCACACAUAGUUUUUUUUACACAAGUGGAAUGUUACUAUAUGUAAUUUCUAGUAACCUGCUUUUUUCACAUCUCUUUUCUCUUUCCAUGUAGUGCGUAGGUUCUCGUCCAGGUCUGCCGAGUAUAUUGUAAUUCAUUUAAUCAGUUCUUUUUUUUUUAGAGACGGAGUUUCACUCUUUUUGCCUGGGCUGGAGUGCAAUGGCGUGAUCUCGGAUUACUGCAAACUCUGCCUCCUGGGUUCAAAUGACUCUGCUGCCUCAGCCUUCCAAGUAGCUGGAAUUACAGGCGUGCAUCACCACGCCUGGCUAAUUUUGUGUUCUUAUUAGAGAUGGGGUUUCACCAUGUUGGUCAGGCUGGUCUCGAACUCCUGACCUCAGGUGAUCUGCCCACCUCGGCCUCCCAAAGUGAAUCAGUUCCUUCUUGAAAGACAUUUUGAUUGUUUUACCCCUUUUUGCUAUUAUAAACAAUAUGGCAGUGAACACCUUUGUAUGUAUGUUUUUGGCCACUUAUUUAUUUAGAGAUGGAGUCUCGCUCUGUCGCCAGGCUGGAGUGCAGUGGCGCAAUCUUGGCUCACUGUAAUCUCCACCUCCUGGGUUCAAGCGAUUCUCUUUCCUCAGCCUCCUGAGUAGCUGGGAUUACAAGUGUGCGCUACCACACCCAGCUAAUUUUUAUUUUUUUUUGAGACGGAUUCUCGCUUUGUCACCCAGGCUGGAGUGCAGUGGCUUGAUGUCGGCUCACUGCAAGCUCUGCCUCCCGGGUUCACACCAUUCUCCUGUCUCAGCCUCCCGAGUAGCUGGGACUACAGGCGCCCGCCACCAUGCCCGGCUAAUUUUUUUUUUUUUGUAUUUUUAGUAGAGCUGGGUUUUCACCGUGUUAGCCAGGAUGGUCUCGAUCUCCUCACCUUGUGAUCUGCCUGCCUUGGCCUCCCAAAGUGCUGGGAUUACAGGCGUGAGCCACCGUGCCCGACCUGUAUUUUUAAUAGAGAUGGGGUUUCACCAUGUUGGCCAGGAUGGUCUCGAUCUCCUGACCUCAUGAUCUGCCUGCCUCAGCCUCCCGAAGUGCUGGGAUGACAGGCGUGAGCCACUGCACCCGGCCUGUCUGUUAUUUCUUUAGGAAAAAUUCAUACACAGAGACUCCACAAUAUAACAGAACAGACAUUUAAACUGGCUGUCCCCCAAACACAACAGGCUUGGGCCUACCUCAGGGCCCUCAUUCAUGCUGUCUCCUUUGUCUGGAACUCUUUUCACCCCCAUCCCCACAUGGGCUGGAGCAUCUACUCAUCCUAGCUUCGGCUCAAACGGGCUCCCCAGAGAGGACUGUCCUGACCACUCUCUGCCGUUUCCCGUUCAUCUCCCUCUGUCUCAGGUAUACAGAAUCGCUUCAUCUGCGACACAUUCUCAUUGUUGCCUGUGAUUCCCUCACUUUAUGCUUGUGUGGGUUUUUUUUAGAGACCUGGUCUUGCUCUGUUGCCUGGGCUGGAGUACAGUGGUGCGAUCAUAGCUCACUGCAUCCUGGAACUUCUGGGCCCAAGUGAUCCUCCUGCCUCAGCCUCCCAAGUAGUUAGGACUACAGAUGCAUGCCACCAUGGCUGGCUAAUUUCGAAAAAUUUUUUUUGUAGAGGCAGGUUCUCACUAUGUUUCCUAGGCUGGUCUUGAACUCCUGGGCUCAAGCGAUUUUCCCACCACAGCCUCCCAAAGUGCUGGGAUACAGGUGUGAGCCACCAUGCCUGGCCCUGUGUGUAUUUAUUUUUACAUAACAUAAUAAAAAUCUGUGGAGUCAGCAAUCUGACACAAGAACUGGAACAUUGAUAACCUGUUUUCCCCAAUGAAUUCCUUUACCAUCCCAUCUCCUGCCUUCCUUCACCUGAGGUAAUGUCUAUCCUGAUUCUUCCAGAACAUUAAAAAAAAAAAAAAACAGCUUUGUUGAGAUGUAAUUCACAUACCACACUAUUCAGUCAUUUAUAGUUUACAAUUCAGUGGCUUUCAGUGCAUUCACAGAGUUGUGUAACUGUUGCCACAAUGGAUUUUAGACUAUUUUCAUCAUCCCCAAAAGAAACCAUUAGCAUCAGUACUCAUUAGCAGUCACUCUCCCAUCUGCUCUGCCUUCCCUCUAAUCCCCAGCCCUAGGCCACCAUUAAUCUGCUUCUGUAUCCAUGGAUUUGUCUCUUCUGGACAGUUCAUGUAAAGAGAAUCAUACAACAUGUGGCCUUUUGUGCCUGGCUUCUUUCACUUAGCAUCAUGAUUUCUAGGUUCAUCUAUGUUGUAGCAUGUAUCAGAACUUCCUUUUUAUUGCCAAAUAAUAUUCCAUUAUAGGCCAGAUGUGGUGUCUCAUGCCUACAAUCCCAACACUUUGGGAAGUAGAGGUUGGAAGGAUUGCUUGAGCCCAGGAGUUCGAGACGAGUCUGGGCAACAUAGUGAGACCCCGUCUCUAAAAAUAGAAAAAUUAACUGGGCCUGGUGGUGUGUGCCUAUAGUCCUAGUUACUUGGGAGACUGAGUCAGGAGGAUCUCUUGAGCCUGGGAGUUCCAGGCUGCAGUGAGCCAUGAUCACACCACUGCACUCCAGCCUGGGUGACAGAGUGGAACUGUCUCAAAGAAAAAAAUAUAUAUAUGGCCAGGUGUGGUGGCUCACAUCUGUAAUCCCAGCACUUUGGAAGGCUGAGGCAGGAGGAUCAUGAGGUCAGGAGAUGGAAACCAUCCUGGCUAACACGAUGAAACCCAUCUCUACUAAAAAUACAAAAAAUUAGCCGGGCGUGGUGGCACGGGCCUGUAGUCCCAGAAGGCUGAGGCAGGAGAAUCGCUUGAACCUGGGAGGCAGAGGUUGCAAUGAGCGGAGAUUGUGCCACUGCACUCCAGCCUGGGCGACAGAGUGAGACUCGGUCUCAAAAUAAUAAUAAUAAUAAUAAUAAUAAUAAUACCUAUUCUUAAUGAUACCUGAAGGCAGGAUGAAGCCAACUCAGGUGUGGGUGUGGCUGUUGUAGGUACUGUCGUGUUACUCCACUCACCCUAACUGUGUCUAGCUCCAAAAUACCUAUUUGCCAACUGGCAUGGUCCUCAAAGACAUUCAUAAUGAGAAGAGAACAAUAGGGACAAGGUAAUUUCUUUUUUGAUUCAUCUAAAUUUCCUGAUUUUAAAAAAGUCAGGCCAGGGGCAGUGGCUCGCACCUGUAAUCCCAGCACUUUUGGAGGCUGAGGCAGGCAGAUCACCUGCGGUCAGGAGUUUGAGACCAGUCUGACCAACAUGGAGAAACCCCGUCUCUACUAAAAAUACAAAAUUAACUGGAGGUGUUGGCGCAUGCCUGUAAUCCCAGCUACUCAGAAGGCUGAGGGAGGAGAAUUACUUGAACCUGGGAGGCAGAGGUUGCAGUGAGCCAAGAUAGCGCCAUUGCACUCCAGCCUGGGCAACAAGAGCAAAACUCCAUAUCAAAAACAAAAACAAACAAACAAACAAAAAAAGCCAGUGGCUCAUACCUAUAAUCCCAGCACUUUGGGAGGCUAGCUUGAGCCUAGGAGUUUGAGACCAGCCUGGGCAAAAUAUUGAGACCCACAUCUCUACAAUAAAUAAAAAAUUUACCAGUUGUGGUGGUGCACAUUUGUGGUCCCAACCACUGGGGAGGCUGAGGUGGGAGGAUCACUUGAGCCCAGGAGGUUGAGGCUGCAGUGAGCAGUGAUCACCCCACUGCACUCCAGCCUGGGCAACAGAGCAAGACAGUGUCUCAAAAAAAAAAAAAAAAAAAGAAAAAUCAGAGAUUAUGAUAGUGUGUGCAUUACAAGGUCUCUUUUCUUUUGUAUGUGUGUGAGAUGGCAUCUCCCUCUGUUGCCCAGGCUGGAGUGCAGUGGCAUCAUCAUAGCUCACUGCUACCUCAAACUCUGGGGCUCAAAUGAUCUUCCCACCUCAGCCUCCUGAGUAACUGAGACUACAGGUCCUUUCUUUUCACUAAAUAAUAAGAGAUCUUUUAAAAAACAAUAUAGCUAGGCACGGUGGCUCACACCUGUAAUCCCAACACUUUGGGAGGCCGAGGCGGGCAGAUCACGAGGUCAAGAGAUCGAGACCAUCCUGGCCAACAUGGUGAAACCAUGUCUCUACUAAAAAUACAAAAGUUAGCUGGUCUUGGUGAUACGUACCUGUAGUCUCAGCUAUUUGGGAGGCUGAGGCAGGAGAAUCGCUUGAACCCAGGUGGUGGAGGUUGCAGUGAGCCGAGAUUGUGCCAUUGCACUCCAGCCUGGUGACAGAGCAAGACGCAGUCUCAAAAACAAAACUCAGAAACCAAUAUAAUAGUAUAAACUGCACAGCGGCUAUUGAGUACUUGAAAUGUGGCUAAUAUAGCUGGGCACAGUGGCACACAUUGUAGUCCCAGCCACUUUUGAGGUUGAGGCAGGAGGAUUGCUUGAGCCCAGGAGUUCAAGGCUGUAGUGCCCUAUGAUUGCACCUGUGAGUAGCCACUGUACUCCAGCCUAGGCAACAGCAAGACCCCUGUAUCAAAACAAACAAAAGAAGUGUGGCUAUUAGACAUAUUACAAAUAUUCCCAGAGGUGACUCAGAAGUUAAUCAUAGAAGUCAAACUUUGCUUAUUGUUAUGAGUCUCUAGGGAGUACUUCAACUCAUUUGCAUCUGUUUCCUCAUCUUCAAAAUGGGACAGUGUAAUUCUGGACCUGGGACAUAGUAAGGAUUCAAUGGGUGGCAGCUGUGACAAGAGCAACAACAAAAAUAUUGUGCGUCUUUCUUUUUUUUAAUAAUGGCACAAAAAGGCAAAACCAUAGAUACAGUAAACGGAUGUGUGGUUGCCAGUGUUUGGCGGGGAGAGGGUUCAAUAAGUGAGCACAGGGGGUUUUUUAGGGUGAAGAAAUGUGGGUAUAUGACUGUGCAUUGGUUGAUAUCCAUUAAACUUAAUAGCACAAAAAGUGAACCUUAAUGCAUGCAAAGUUAAAAAAAUCACUUAGGACAUUUAGAUAAUUCCAAAAUGUCAUGCAGAAUAUGACAAACAUCUUCACCGUAUUACAAAUGUGUGAAAUGACCUCAUGAAGAGGAUAGAGGAAAACGUGCUGACCUAAGUAACUUUAGAAAUGAGUGGGCCAGGCGUGGUGGCUCAUGCCUUUAAUCCCAGGACUUUGGGAGGCUGAGGCGGGAGGAUCACUGGAGCCCAGGAGUUGGAGACAAGCCUAGGCAACAUAGUGAGAUCCCAUCUCUACAAAAAUUUUAAAAAAUUAGAUGGGUGUAGUGGCGCAUGCCUGUAGUCCCAGCUACUUGGGAGGCUGAGGCAGGAGGAUCACUUAAGACUGGGAAGUCAAGGCUGCUGUGAGCUGUGAUGGCCCCGCUGCACUCCAGCACUCCAACCUGGGCAACAGAGUGAGGCUCUGUCUCAAAAAAAAAAAAAAAAGAAAAAGAAAAAAGAAACAAGUGGAGUCUGCUGGAACACUAAAGGCAAAAGAAAGUGUUCAGAAGAAUGUACUCUACUUGAUAAAGUUUCCCACAGGGGUAUGGGUUAACAAUUUUGAUAAUCCUACACAUGUAUACUGGACUUGAACAAUUAAGUAAAUGGAUGGUGGAUGUGGAUGAUGGGAACCAGGUUUCCCGUUAUUGGAGUGGGAAUUUAGAGAUAAGCAAGCAGGAAGCAAGCCAAAUGAUCCCUGGAUUCAAGUGGUAAAUAUAAACAGGAACUCAUGUUUAGCUUAAUAUAUAUACAGAUGGUUACAAAUGGAAAUAUAGAUAUGUGUGUAUAUAUAUACACAUUGGUAUAUACAGAUAUAUUUCUUUGUUCUGUCAGUUGAGAAGGCUUAAAAGAAAUGAUACCCCAAGGCCAGGUGUGGUGGCUCACGCCUGUAAUCCCAACACUUUGGGAGGCCAAGGCAGGAGGAUGGCUUGAGGCCGGGAGUUGUAUCAGUCUGGGCAACAUGGCAAGACCUUAUCUCUACAAAAAAAAAAAUUGAAAAUUAAAAUUAGCUGAGUGUGGUGGCACACACCUGUGGUCCUAGCUACUCAGGAGGCUAAGGAGGGAGGAUCACUUGAGCCCAGGAGGUCUAGGCUGCAGUUUUUAUUGUCUUUAAAUUCUCUUCAGAUAAUUUACCCCCGCAUUGCCUACACAGCACACUGCAGAGUGCUGGGCAACUUGGUAAUUAACCCUCUAAUUGUGUAAACUGGAAGCUUCGUGAGGUUAUGGCUUCAUUACCAUGGCUACGUGGCUGUAGCCAUGAGUGUGCACUCCAGUGUGGGUGAUGGAGUGAGACUCUGUCUCAAAAAGGAAGGGAGGGAGGGAGGGAGGGAGGAAGGAAAUAAAUGACACCCUAGUAGCAAUGAGUGCACCUAGCGCCCAGUUCUUGGUUUCUAAUAAAUACCCUUCUCCGAAACAAUCAAAGCUCUUGCGAAAUGGCUGAUUUGAGGACUGGGGCAGGAAAUACGAAAGAUGAGCCUGAGGCAUCUUGUAGUGCCAGAAAGUAAGGAAGUGCUUGACGGCAACGAGAAAACCCCACAAAAAUAGGGGUGUGUCAAAGGGAGACGGGAGCCAACCGAAAGAGCUCCCAAAAGCCAAAGCUGGAACAACUUGAGCAACAAAAUCAAAUAGUAUUGGAUUAUAACCUAAAGUAUUAAAUAAUUAUCUGUGAAUCCAUACUGAUAUAAAUAAAUUACUGAAUAAAUGAGACAAAUCUUCAGUGUAGAAAAAUCCCAAAUAAUCUAUGUAGCUAUUCCAACCUUAAGGAGAUAGAGCAUAACUCCUCACUUAAGUGUGGCCCGAGCAUAGUGACUUCCUUCCAAAGAGUACAGUAUGAAAAGGGGCAAAAGAAGACUGACUUUCCAGUAGAGAAACCUGACGCAGCACCAACAGUGAUGUCAUGUUGCUAUGUGAGAAACCGCCCCAGCCAAGAGGAGCCCAGAGAGACACGACAGCUAGUGCGAUGAGGCAUGCUGGAUGGAUCCUGGAGUAGAAAAAGAUGGAGUAGAAAAAGAACGUUGGGUAAAAACGAAGGAAAUCUGAAUAAACUGUGAACUCUAAUUAAUAAAUAAUGUAUCAUUAUUGGUUUAUUAAUUGGAACAAAUAUACCAUGCGUCUGCAAUACCAUAUGUGAUGUUAAUAGCAGAAACACCAGCCUGAGCAACAUGGCGAGACUUCAUCUCUAUGAAAAAUGCAAAAAUCAGCUGGGCUUGGUGGCAUGCCCCUGUAGUCUCUGCUACUUGGGAGGCUGAGGUGGGAGGAUCGCCUGAGCCUGGGAGGCGGAGGUUGCAGUGAGCCGAGAUCGCGCCACUGCACUCCAGCCUGGGUGAAAGAGCGGGACCCUGUCUCAAUAAUAAUAAUAAUAAUGAAAGAAACAGGGUGGGUGGCUGGGGUAGACGGGAACUUUAUAUUCACAAUUUUUCUGUAAAUCUAAAAGUGUUCUAAAAAAUUGAAGUUUUUUUUUUGUAAUGGCAAACGGGUUUUAAAAACACAUUUGGUUUAUUUAGACUCCAGAGUGUCAGAGCCAUUUACGCAGCCCGCCUCAAAAACAGAAUUUCUUCCAUGGAUUAAGAGAAAUAUUCAUUUAUCC
Molecule: long non-coding RNA, 11568 nt
Filed under: Homo sapiens (human)
Lineage: Eukaryota; Metazoa; Chordata; Mammalia; Primates; Hominidae
Description: non-protein coding NRSN2-AS1:19
Source: RNAcentral